This 1829-nucleotide ribosomal RNA is filed under the name Salmonella enterica subsp. diarizonae. RNAcentral's name for it is "partial 23S ribosomal RNA". It matches the Rfam family "Bacterial large subunit ribosomal RNA", at positions 1157 to 2925 of the family's 2925-position model. The record is from RNAcentral. Lineage: Bacteria; Pseudomonadati; Pseudomonadota; Gammaproteobacteria; Enterobacterales; Enterobacteriaceae.
CGUAUCACUUAAAACGAUUCAGAAGCUUACGAUUGACGGAGCGAAGCGACGUCAAAGCGUAUACAAAGUCGAGUCGGUUUAAGGAUACGUUCGUUGGGUAGGGGAGCGUUCUGUAAGCCGUUGAAGGUGUCCUGUGAGGGGUGCUGGAGGUAUCAGAAGUGCGAAUGCUGACAUAAGUAACGAUAAAGCGGGUGAAAAGCCCGCUCGCCGGAAGACCAAGGGUUCCUGUCCAACGUUAAUCGGGGCAGGGUGAGUCGACCCCUAAGGCGAGGCCGAAAGGCGUAGUCGAUGGGAAACGGGUUAAUAUUCCCGUACUUGGUGUUACUGCGAAGGGGGGACGGAGAAGGCUAUGUUGGCCGGGCGACGGUUGUCCCGGUUUAAGCGUGUAGGUGUGUGUUCCAGGUAAAUCCGGUUCACUUUAACACUGAGGCGUGAUGACGAGGCACCACGGUGCUGAAGCAACAAAUGCCCUGCUUCCAGGAAAAGCCUCUAAGCAUCAGGUAACAUCAAAUCGUACCCCAAACCGACACAGGUGGUCAGGUAGAGAAUACCAAGGCGCUUGAGAGAACUCGGGUGAAGGAACUAGGCAAAAUGGUGCCGUAACUUCGGGAGAAGGCACGCUGACACGUAGGUGAAGUGAUUUACUCAUGGAGCUGAAGUCAGUCGAAGAUACCAGCUGGCUGCAACUGUUUAUUAAAAACACAGCACUGUGCAAACACGAAAGUGGACGUAUACGGUGUGACGCCUGCCCGGUGCCGGAAGGUUAAUUGAUGGGGUCAGCGCAAGCGAAGCUCCUGAUCGAAGCCCCGGUAAACGGCGGCCGUAACUAUAACGGUCCUAAGGUAGCGAAAUUCCUUGUCGGGUAAGUUCCGACCUGCACGAAUGGCGUAAUGAUGGCCAGGCUGUCUCCACCCGAGACUCAGUGAAAUUGAACUCGCUGUGAAGAUGCAGUGUACCCGCGGCAAGACGGAAAGACCCCGUGAACCUUUACUAUAGCUUGACACUGAACAUUGAGCCUUGAUGUGUAGGAUAGGUGGGAGGCUUUGAAGCGUGGACGCCAGUCUGCGUGGAGCCGACCUUGAAAUACCACCCUUUAAUGUUUGAUGUUCUAACGUGGACCCGUAAUCCGGGUUGCGGACAGUGUCUGGUGGGUAGUUUGACUGGGGCGGUCUCCUCCUAAAGAGUAACGGAGGAGCACGAAGGUUGGCUAAUCCUGGUCGGACAUCAGGAGGUUAGUGCAAUGGCAUAAGCCAGCUUGACUGCGAGCGUGACGGCGCGAGCAGGUGCGAAAGCAGGUCAUAGUGAUCCGGUGGUUCUGAAUGGAAGGGCCAUCGCUCAACGGAUAAAAGGUACUCCGGGGAUAACAGGCUGAUACCGCCCAAGAGUUCAUAUCGACGGCGGUGUUUGGCACCUCGAUGUCGGCUCAUCACAUCCUGGGGCUGAAGUAGGUCCCAAGGGUAUGGCUGUUCGCCAUUUAAAGUGGUACGCGAGCUGGGUUUAGAACGUCGUGAGACAGUUCGGUCCCUAUCUGCCGUGGGCGCUGGAAGACUGAGGGGGGCUGCUCCUAGUACGAGAGGACCGGAGUGGACGCAUCACUGGUGUUCGGGUUGUCAUGCCAAUGGCACUGCCCGGUAGCUAAAUGCGGAAAAGAUAAGUGCUGAAAGCAUCUAAGCACGAAACUUGCCCCGAGAUGAGUCUUCCCUGAGACCUUGAGUCUCCUGAAGGAACGUUAAAGACGAUGACGUUGAUAGGCCGGGUGUGUAAGCGCAGCGAUGCGUUGAGCUAACCGGUACUAAUGAACCGUGAGGCUUAACCUUACAACGCCGAAG